GUUCCGAUCAUGCGCCUUUGAGCUCUUGAGCCCGCUUUAUGGGCCUGGGCUAAUUCUCUCUGACACCAAGUUUGGGCCUUCGUCCGUUUUUUGGCUAUUUGGUGACUACAACUGCUCUGAAGACCCAAUGUGCAUCCAGGGCCGACUUCAAGGAGACAUCCCAUUGUGAACAUCCAGGAAACAUCUGGCUGUGUCUGGAGAUCAGCUACUGAAAAUUCCUCCAUAUGCCGAGGCCAGUCACCUGCACUGGGGACUCAUCAGACUUCUCUUCAGUAACACCCAAGCUUGCAGUGCGUAGGUGACAAAUGAAAUUCUACUAAUGGUCCGAGAAAUAAGCACCCAAAGGAAACUGAGACUUUUAUCUCUGUCACCCCCAAGUGGAAGGGAUGCUGUUCUGAAGAUUGGAUAUUUGCUCUCAGAGACCCUCUUCUCUUGGGGAAGUGCAUUCCAUGUGGACUGGAUGAGGUUUGCCACCAGUCUGAGAAGUGGACGUGGGGCCCAGACCCGGCUGAUCCCAAUUCUCUAAUCCUCUGGCCACAGUGAUGGAUCGGGUCAGCCCGGGUUCCAAGAGGAGCCAAAAUCCUAUCAGGUAGGAUGCUGUCUUUCAAAGAGGUUUCACGAGAAACGACAUAAGGCCUGAACUUCCGACAACCAUCCUGGACCUACGUGGGGAGAGACUGAGCACCGACAGCAUACUUCAGACCCCAACCCGGCCUCGCCAGGAGGCUGACUUCUCAGUUACGUGAACUAAUGAGUUUCCUGCUUUGCGAGCACUAAGUUACUUUGAUUUGGAUUCCUGUUACUUGUGUCUGUAUAGACCUGGAAAAUAGUAGAAGUGAGACCUGUAGAUACUGGGGGGAAGAGUGUUACAGACAGAGGGAAUAGCAUGUUGAAGGCCAGUACAGCUGGGGGAAUGGAUGAGGUGGACGGUUGUUGGGCUUGUGCUCUGUACAACAUUGUCUGGACAAGGGGUAAAGAGAAUUUGGGGCUGUUACUGGGCUGAAUAGUGUCCCCUCCAAAAUUCGUGCCCCCACCACCCAGAAUCUCAGAGCGUGAUCUUAUUUGGAAAUAGAGUCUUUGCAGGUGUAAUUAGUUAAGAUGAGGUCACGGUGGGGUAGGCCCUAACUCCAGGGACUGUUGUCGCUACAAAAAGGCCACAUGAGGACACAGAGAGACACAGGGAGGAGGCCAAAUGGCAACAGAGCAGAGACUGGAGCACACACCUGUCAUCCAGGGAGCACCAGGCGCAGCCAGCAGCCACCAGAAGCCGGGAAGAGGCAAGGAAGGAUUUCUCCCCUAAUGCCUCCAGAGGCAGGGUGGCCCUGCCACCGCCUUGAUUCUGGACUCCCAGCCUUCAGAACGGCGAGCAAAUAUCUGCUGUUUCAAGCCACCCUGUUGGUGGCACUUUGUUAUGGCAGUGCUAGGCAAUGAGUGUGGUGGGUGGGUAUCCCAGCUGCCGUCUCCCUGCUGGGUCAGCUCCCA
Molecule: non-coding RNA, 1482 nt
Organism: Microcebus murinus (gray mouse lemur)
Lineage: Eukaryota; Metazoa; Chordata; Mammalia; Primates; Cheirogaleidae
Source: RefSeq, a predicted model, not a curated record